This 130-nucleotide small RNA is filed under the name Salmonella enterica subsp. enterica serovar Stanleyville. RNAcentral describes it as "RtT sRNA". It matches the Rfam family "RtT RNA". Rfam says of the family: This family represents a bacterial cis-regulatory element known as RtT RNA. The exact function of RtT is unknown although it is thought that it may be involved in changing the cellular response in relation to amino acid starvation. The record is from RNAcentral. Lineage: Bacteria; Pseudomonadati; Pseudomonadota; Gammaproteobacteria; Enterobacterales; Enterobacteriaceae.
UAUCUCUCCGUACGGGGAAGGAUGAGAAGCUUCGACUAAGGUUCGAUUCGAGCGCAGCGAGAAAGCGUUGCCGCAGGCAACGACCCGAAGGGCGAAGCGCGCAGCGCUGAGUCAUCCUUCCCCACCACCA